AAGUCGUAACAAGGUUUCCGUAGGUGAACCUGCGGAAGGAUCAUUAACACGUAUCCACGUAUCAACCAAUCGUGAACUCGUUUUCGCAUCUCCCUGCUGCAGUAAUUGGAACGGUCGAACAUUAUGAAUGGGACUCUUCGGAGUCACGGUUCGACCCCAUAUACAAUUUUCUGUGGUCAGGCAAAUUCUUAUUAAUUCAAGCUCCAUUCAUGCUUGAAUUUUUAGGAGCCAACAAUUAACAAUUUUCACCCCCUUUUUGCUAGUUGACUUUUUUAUGUGGUGUUCUGAAAAUUUAAUUUUCAAAGCUCACACGUUUAAUUAAUUGAACGUUAAAAAUACAACUCUUAGCAAUGGAUAUCUUGGUUCUC
RNAcentral lists this unclassified non-coding RNA (368 nucleotides) under fungal sp. Its description in RNAcentral is "partial internal transcribed spacer region". The stretch from base 1 to 46 matches the Rfam family "Eukaryotic small subunit ribosomal RNA", at positions 1786 to 1831 of the family's 1831-position model. The record is from RNAcentral. Lineage: Eukaryota; Fungi.